Molecule: non-coding RNA, 24 nt
Filed under: Chrysemys picta bellii (western painted turtle)
Lineage: Eukaryota; Metazoa; Chordata; Testudines; Emydidae
Also listed under: 24 other names
Source: RNAcentral
GAGGGACUUUCAGGGGCAGCUGUG